This 71-nucleotide transfer RNA is filed under the name Blumeria graminis f. sp. tritici JIW2. Its description in RNAcentral is "tRNA-Glu (CTC) (tRNA-Glu-CTC-2-1)". It matches the Rfam family "tRNA". Rfam says of the family: Transfer RNA (tRNA) molecules are approximately 80 nucleotides in length. The record is from RNAcentral. Lineage: Eukaryota; Fungi; Ascomycota; Leotiomycetes; Helotiales; Erysiphaceae.
UCCGUACUGGUGUAUCGGUAACAUUUCCGCCUCUCACGCGGUAGCGCAGGGUUCGACUCUCUGGUACGGAA